Molecule: ribosomal RNA, 366 nt
Filed under: uncultured bacterium
Lineage: Bacteria
Description: bacterial SSU rRNA
Rfam family: Bacterial small subunit ribosomal RNA
Source: RNAcentral
GACGAACGCUGGCGGCGUGCUCAACACAUGCAAGUCGAGCGGUAAGGCCCUUCGGGGUACACGAGCGGCGAACGGGUGAGUAACACGUGGGUGACCUGCCUUUAGCUCUGGGAUAAGCCUGGGAAACUGGGUCUAAUACCGGAUAUGACCUCAUGACGCAUGUUGUGGGGUGGAAAGCCUUGUGCGGCUAGAGAUGGGCCCGCGGCCUAUCAGCUUGUUGGUGGGGUGAUGGCUACCAAGGCGACGACGGGUAGCCGGCCUCGAGAGGGCGACCGGCCACACUGGGACUGAGACACGGCCCAGACUCCUACGGGAGGGCAGCAGUGGGGAAUCUUGCGCAAUGGGCGAAAGCCUGACGCAGCGACG